RNAcentral lists this non-coding RNA (30 nucleotides) under Mus musculus (house mouse). Lineage: Eukaryota; Metazoa; Chordata; Mammalia; Rodentia; Muridae. The record is from RNAcentral.
UGGGAUUAUAAGACUGCCAUUAUGCCUGGU